RNAcentral lists this non-coding RNA (148 nucleotides) under Chlorocebus sabaeus (green monkey). The record is from Rfam by way of RNAcentral. Lineage: Eukaryota; Metazoa; Chordata; Mammalia; Primates; Cercopithecidae.
GCUGGGUGUGGUGGUGCACACCUGCAGUCCCAGCUACUUGGGAAACUGAGGCAGGAGGAUCACUUGAGCCCAGGAGAUUGAGGCUGCAGUGAGCUGUGAUGGCACUACUGUACUCCAGCCUGGGCAACAGAGUGAGACCAUGCCUCAA